Molecule: ribosomal RNA, 517 nt
Filed under: uncultured bacterium
Lineage: Bacteria
Description: bacterial SSU rRNA
Rfam family: Bacterial small subunit ribosomal RNA
Source: RNAcentral
AGAACUUAGCAGAGAUGCUUUGGUGCCUUCGGGAACUCUGAGACAGGUGCUGCAUGGCUGUCGUCAGCUCGUGUUGUGAAAUGUUGGGUUAAGUCCCGCAACGAGCGCAACCCUUAUCCUUUGUUGCCAGCGGUUAGGCCGGGAACUCAAAGGAGACUGCCAGUGAUAAGCUGGAGGAAGGUGGGGAUGACGUCAAGUCAUCAUGGCCCUUACGAGUAGGGCUACACACGUGCUACAAUGGCGCAUACAAAGAGAAGCGACCUCGCGAGAGCAAGCGGACCUCAUAAAGUGCGUCGUAGUCCGGAUUGGAGUCUGCAACUCGACUCCAUGAAGUCGGAAUCGCUAGUAAUCGUGGAUCAGAAUGCCACGGUGAAUACGUUCCCGGGCCUUGUACACACCGCCCGUCACACCAUGGGAGUGGGUUGCAAAAGAAGUAGGUAGCUUAACCUUCGGGAGGGCGCUUACCACUUUGUGAUUCAUGACUGGGGUGAAGUCGUAACAAGGUAAGCGUAGUGCU